Molecule: ribosomal RNA, 425 nt
Filed under: uncultured prokaryote
Description: bacterial SSU rRNA
Rfam family: Bacterial small subunit ribosomal RNA
Source: RNAcentral
UGCUGAAUUAUUCGCCAAUGCGCGAAAGCGUGACGGUGCGACGCCGCGUGCGGGACGCAGGCCUUCGGGUUGUAAACCGCUGUCAAGGUAUAGAAAACCGUCGGAGUUAAUAGCUCCGGCGCUGAUCCUACCUAAAGGAAGCACAGGCUAACCUCGUGCCAGCAGCCGCGGUAAUACGGGGUGUGCGAGCGUUGUUCGGAAUCACUGGGCAUAAAGGGUGCGUAGGCGGUGCGCCAAGUCGGGUGUGAAAUCCCUUCGCUUAACGGAGGAACUGCAUUCGAUACUAGCGUGCUAGAGGGUAAAAGGGGCAAGCGGAAUUCUAGGUGUAGCGGUGGAAUGCGUAGAUAUCUGGGAGAACGCCGAGGGCGAAGGCAGCUUGCUGGGUUACUUCUGACGCUGAGGCACGAAAGCUAGGGGAGCAAACA